Molecule: long non-coding RNA, 2660 nt
Filed under: Sus scrofa (pig)
Lineage: Eukaryota; Metazoa; Chordata; Mammalia; Artiodactyla; Suidae
Description: lncRNA (ENSSSCG00005005236.1)
Source: RNAcentral
UUUUUUUUUUUUUUUUUUUUUGUCAUUUCUGGGGCUGCUCUCAUGGCAUAUGGAGGUUCCCAGGCUAGGGGUCAAAUCGGAGCUACAGCUGCCUGCCUACGCCACAGCCACAGCAAUGCCAGAUCCGAGCCUUGUCUGCUCCUUACACCACAGCUCAUGGCAACAGAGGCCAGGGAUUGAACGCACAUCCUAAUGGAUCCUAGUUGGAUUCAUUUCUGCUGUGCCACAAUGGGAACUCCCCUUCCUUUGUAUUUUAAAGAACAGUGUCUAAAGUAGGUCCCAUCCUUUUGUUAUUCUCAACCACAGUUCCAACGGUUGAGUGUCUCCUGGGAUAUGCAUGCUCUGUUCCAUUUCUUUCUUUUUUUAAACAGACCCAGAGUCCCAGAAGAAGUUAGAUGUUGUGCUUACAAACUGCAUACACAUGGGCAUCAUGGAAGUGCAAAACUCCAAUAAAGAAAUAAGCACAUGGUUUCUUAGUUCAUUUUUUAUGUUAAUGAUGAAAGUGCAGGUAAGAAAAUAAGAACUAGCCUUAAGGACAUAUAAGUGAUGGAAAGAGAAGGAAAAUUCUAGGUGGAGCCCAGAGAAGUUAUCAUUCUCUUCCUAUCAACAUUGGGUGGAUGUGCAGGCCCCUUGCUUUAUAGCAGCAGAACAAAAUAAAAUGACUGAUGAUCAAAGAAACUCACAGAUGCCUACAGAAUUAAAUUAUCAACCCACUUUGACAUUUUGCAAGUAUAAACAGAAACAGAAAUAACUAGAGGUGUAGAAAUAGUUGAAGAAGCCCCUCAACAUUAAAUUCUAAACUUCAAAUUUGAAACACCUAGAGAUUGGGGUUUCUCUGUAAUCUAUAAAUCAGCCUUGAUUCAAAGAAAUAGCCAGGCUGGCAUGGGGGAGCAACUUUAGAUCUGGCCAGCACAGGACCUGGGGAGGCUCAGUAGAGACCCACUAUCUGUUAAUAAGGAAGAAGACCCAAAACAGAGCCAGGACAAAUAAUUCUGUCAUUUUACUGUCAAAAGUGUCCAACCAUUCUUUAUUGUGAAAAGGAUACAUAAUUAAGCUGUAUCUUUAUAUUAUUAUUUUUUUUUUACUAUUUGGCAUAUUAUUCAUUCCCAGUGAUGUUUCAUUUCUCCUCAAAUGAUUCUUUUGCAACCUUUAGAAAGCCCUGCAAUUUCCUUUUCAUUUGGCCGAACGUGGCAGACACAGGAGGGAGAGCUUCUAAAUCCUGUUGCUCAGAAUAUGGCUUUUUUUUUUUUUUUUUUUUUUUUUUUUUUUGUCUUUUCAGGGUCGCACCCACUGGAAAUGGAGGUUCCCAGGCUAGGGGUCUAAUCGAAGCUACAGCUGCCAGCCUACACCAGAGCCACAGCAACGCCAGAUCUGAGCCACGUCUGUGACCUAUAGCACAGCUCAUGGCAAUGCCUGAUCCUUAACCCACUGAGUAAGGCCAGGAAUCGAACUCAAAACCUCGUGGUUCCUAGUUGGAUUCCUUUCUGCUGCGCCACAACGGGAACUCCCAGAAUAUGUUUAAAAAAAAAAAAAAAGCAGGACCCCAGACAGGUGUGUAACUGUUUGAAUGGGCUAUCUCUUAUACAACUAGGAAUAAGACCUACUUGGAAGAAGUUUUGCUCUAGAAACUGUUGAUGCUCUUGACUUAUUGAGGGGAGUUCCAUAAAAUGGCCAUUACCAACUGUAUAAGACAAAACUCGUGUUAGCUCGAAGGUUAGUCCCUGUUUUAAAAUCCCAAAAAAGAUAAACCCUAUUAUGGGCCAUUUCCACUUUCCCCACUGCUUCCCUGACAAGAGGUAAUGUGGGUCUGAGGAGGAAACUGAAGAUUCAUGGCCCAAAUAGAGCAGAAGUCUUGUCUUGUGUAACUGCCCAAAUGCUAAUACAAACUCAUUGUUGCUCAAUUUGUUCUUUAAAAGCUGUGCUUUAUUCUAUUAACUUUGAUUUGCCCUCUUAGCUUCUGUCAUUUUUCCAUACUGGACUGUCCUGGCAAUCCUCCUCACCUUUCUGUCUGGGUUUCAGUCUCUGACAGGGGCUCUGUGCCUAGGUCUCCCUGCCAGGAUCCAUCUGGCCCAUCGGUAACUAACAGUCAUCUUAGCCUUGUCCAGUGGUGAUAGCUUCACCCGUAGAUUUAACUGAGACAAAACUGAACAACUUACCAUAAAUAUCGGAGUCAAGAAAAAAUUAUUAGGAGACUAGGCGUACAUAAGUUUAGAUAAAAACAGAGAAGGCAGGACGACAGUGUGGUCCAAGUAAUUUUCUCUGUGCAAAGAUGCCUUCUAUUUAGUAUAACUAAACAUAUUACUUCUGGGGAAAAAAAAAAAACAACAACAAAAAUUCACACUCCAAAAAAGGGAGAAAAACUAGUAUUGAGAGCAAUUAUGAGUAUGACUUAAAAUGUCACUUUUCAUCUGUUGUACAGGAGAGUAAAUAUCAUGAAAACUUAACCAUGAUAAGGAAAAAAAAACACUUAACCAUGAUGAAAUAUUUGUCAAACAGUAUUUGUUCCUAUAUUAAGAAAUUAAUACCCACAUGCACAACUUUGAGUUGAUAGAAACUAAAAACUUAAGGUAAUAGAAUUAAGGAUUUCAUUUUCCUUUUUAGAGUUUUAUAUAUUUUUCAAAUUUUUUGGAAAGGCGUUUUGGAAAUAGAAAAAAAAAAAA